Molecule: ribosomal RNA, 505 nt
Filed under: uncultured bacterium
Lineage: Bacteria
Description: partial 16S ribosomal RNA
Rfam family: Bacterial small subunit ribosomal RNA
Source: RNAcentral
GACGAACGCUGGCGGCGUGCCUAAUACAUGCAAGUAGAACGCACAGUUUAUACCGUAGCUUGCUACACCAUAAACUGUGGGUUGCGAACGGGUGAGUAACGCGUAGGUAACCUGCCUGGUAGCGGGGGAUAACUAUUGGAAACGAUAGCUAAUACCGCAUAAUAUUAAUUAUUGCAUGAUAAUUGAUUGAAAGAUGCAAUUGCAUCACUACCAGAUGGACCUGCGUUGUAUUAGCUAGUAGGUGAGGUAACGGCUCACCUAGGCGACGAUACAUAGCCGACCUGCGAGGGUGAUCGGCCACCCUGGGACUGCGACACGGCCCAGACUCCUACGGGAGGCAGCAGUAGGGAAUCUUCGGCAAUGGACGAAAGUCUGACCGAGCAACGCCGCGUGAGUGAAGAAGGUUUUCGGAUCGUAAAGCUCUGUUGUAAGAGAAGAACGGGUGUGAGAGUGGAAAGUUCACACUGUGACGGUACCUUACCAGAAAGGGACGGCUAACUACGUG